UUCUGGGAGAACACAGUGCUGUCCUUAUGACUCCACUGGGAGAGAACAGUCUUUCCCGAGUUUUCCUGAGCUGAGGAUUUAUACACAGUCUUUCCUGAGCUUUGCCCCACACGCCUUUUAUGGGUGCUAACUUUAAUCUGCAUCUAUCCCGUCACUGUAAUCAACCCUAACUGCUUUUAAGGACUUCCCAAUUGGAUUCUGUUUCUACUGACAUCAAUAUAAAUUGGAACCUGCUCCUUCACUUCAAUUCUCUCCCCAGAAGUGAGAGCUGAUAGCCCCAGGUAGAACAGCUCACUGUGGCUUCUGGAUUCAGUUUCUGGCCUCCCUGCUCAUCAGACUCAAGCCUCACCCGCUUCUCCCAUCCCUGAGCAUGUUUAUGAGCCCCAGCCCCCAGAGACAUUUCAACUUGGGUUCCUACUGAGGAUUCCAGACUUGACCUCUCUUUUUAUUUCUGUCCCCUGGAACUGUCCCUUUCUUGCUUUGGGGACGUUCUCUAUUUUUUUAGUGCCACUAUAUGAGGGUAAGAGAUCUAUCCCAUCAACUCAGCCUACUGUUUUGCUGGAAAUCUUACAAAAGAACUAUCUUAUGUUUUCACCUCAAUUCCAGAGUAACUAGAAAUACUACCCUACGUAGUGUGCAAAGGGUACACACUAAUGAAACAAUGAAUGGAACUAAGCGCGUCAGCAGAACAAUCAGUGACAGAAUUUGGACCCCAGAUCCGCAAAAUAGACCAACUCCUAACAGACUCCCAACCCUACGUGGGCACAGACACUUAGUUUGAAUGCUAUUCCAGUGUUUUCAUGUUGAUAAAUAUGAACAUUUUAAAUCUUAAGGGAAGAUAGGUAGUUUUAAGUCCGUCCUUUCAAUUUUACAUCUGCAUUUAAAAAUAUAAUUUAAACUACUAUUUAACCAUUAAUUAUAUCCCAAAAAAAGAGGAUAUAAAAACCCAAGUGAACACAAAGUUAACCUACUUGCCCAUGGUUUUGAAACCCAGCCCACACAAUUCCCAACCUCUGUAGCAUGUUCCCUUGGCUAGAUGAAUAUCAAAUGUAAGAUGAUUUCUAUGGUUAGGAGUUGAGUUGAAAGCAGAAACUCUUUAGUCUUAAACUAGAAGUUUCAUUUUUUUAUGUGCAAAAGCAUCUAUCUGCAAAUGCCCAAAUGAGAAACAACAGACUGGCUGAAACUAUUCAGCACCACACCUGGCCACUAGGGAGUGAUCAGGAUUUUUC
Molecule: non-coding RNA, 1229 nt
Organism: Macaca mulatta (Rhesus monkey)
Lineage: Eukaryota; Metazoa; Chordata; Mammalia; Primates; Cercopithecidae
Source: RefSeq, a predicted model, not a curated record